UUCGCAAUGCCCGAAAGGGUGAACGAGCGACGCCGCGUGGAGGAUGAAGUCCUUCGGGUUGUAAAGCCCUGUCAACUGGGAAGAAUGGCGGGAGGUGAAUAGCCAUCUCGUCUGACGCUACCAGUGAAGGAAGCACCGGCUAAAUACGUGCCAGCAGCCGCGGUAAUACGUAUGGUGCGAACGUUGUUCGGAAUCACUGGGCAUAAAGAGCACGUAGGCGGUUGAGCAAGUCCAUUGUGAAAUCCCCUGGCUUAACCGGGGAACUGCAGUGGAUACUACUUGACUUGAGUGCAGGAGGGGAGAGUGGAAUUCCAGGUGGAGCGGUGAAAUGCGUAGAUAUCUGGAGGAACGCCGGUGGCGAAAGCGACUCUCUGGUCUGUAACUGACGCUGAGGUGCGAAAGCUAGGGGAGCAAACGGGAUUAGAUACCCCGGUAGUCCUAGCCCUAAACGAUGGGCACUAAGUAGAGGGGUUUU
This 475-nucleotide ribosomal RNA is filed under the name uncultured bacterium. Its description in RNAcentral is "bacterial SSU rRNA". It matches the Rfam family "Bacterial small subunit ribosomal RNA", at positions 364 to 832 of the family's 1533-position model. The record is from RNAcentral.